AUUGAACGCUGGCGGCAGGCCUAACACAUGCAAGUCGAGCGGAUGAGUGGAGCUUGCUCCAUGAUUCAGCGGCGGACGGGUGAGUAAUGCCUAGGAAUCUGCCUGGUAGUGGGGGACAACGUUUCGAAAGGAACGCUAAUACCGCAUACGUCCUACGGGAGAAAGUGGGGGAUCUUCGGACCUCACGCUAUCAGAUGAGCCUAGGUCGGAUUAGCUAGUUGGCGAGGUAAAGGCUCACCAAGGCGACGAUCCGUAACUGGUCUGAGAGGAUGAUCAGUCACACUGGAACUGAGACACGGUCCAGACUCCUACGGGAGGCAGCAGUGGGGAAUAUUGGACAAUGGGCGAAAGCCUGAUCCAGCCAUGCCGCGUGUGUGAAGAAGGUCUUCGGAUUGUAAAGCACUUUAAGUUGGGAGGAAGGGCAGUAAGUUAAUACCUUGCUGUUUUGACGUUACCGACAGAAUAAGCACCGGCUAACUUCGUG
This 484-nucleotide ribosomal RNA is filed under the name uncultured organism. RNAcentral's name for it is "bacterial SSU rRNA". It matches the Rfam family "Bacterial small subunit ribosomal RNA", at positions 30 to 507 of the family's 1533-position model. The record is from RNAcentral.